RNAcentral lists this ribosomal RNA (729 nucleotides) under uncultured bacterium. Its description in RNAcentral is "bacterial SSU rRNA". It matches the Rfam family "Bacterial small subunit ribosomal RNA", at positions 28 to 803 of the family's 1533-position model. The record is from RNAcentral.
AACGAACGCUGGCGGCAGGCCUAACACAUGCAAGUCGAGCGAGACCUUCGGGUCUAGCGGCGGACGGGUUAGUAACGCGUGGGAAUGUACCCUUCACUGCGGAAUAGCCACUGGAAACGGUGAGUAAUACCGCAUACGCCCUUCGGGGGAAAGAUUUAUCGGUGAAGGAUCAGCCCGCGUCUGAUUAGAUAGUUGGUGGGGUAACGGCCUACCAAGUCGACGAUCAGUAGCUGGUUUUAGAGGAUGAUCAGCAACACUGGGACUGAGACACGGCCCAGACUCCUACGGGAGGCAGCAGUGGGGAAUCUUAGACAAUGGGCGCAAGCCUGAUCUAGCCAUGCCGCGUGUGUGAUGAAGGCCCUAGGGUCGUAAAGCACUUUCGCCAGGGAUGAUAAUGACAGUACCUGGUAAAGAAACCCCGGCUAACUCCGUGCCAGCAGCCGCGGUAAUACGGAGGGGGUUAGCGUUGUUCGGAAUUACUGGGCGUAAAGCGCACGUAGGCGGACUAUUAAGUCAGGGGUGAAAUCCCGGGGCUCAACCCCGGAACUGCCCUUGAUACUGGUAGUCUUGAGUUCGAGAGAGGUGAGUGGAAUUCCGAGUGUAGAGGUGAAAUUCGUAGAUAUUCGGAGGAACACCAGUGGCGAAGGCGGCUCACUGGCUCGAUACUGACGCUGAGGUGCGAAAGUGUGGGGAGCAAACAGGAUUAGAUACCCUGGUAGUCCACACCGU